RNAcentral lists this ribosomal RNA (468 nucleotides) under uncultured bacterium. RNAcentral's name for it is "partial 16S ribosomal RNA". It matches the Rfam family "Bacterial small subunit ribosomal RNA", at positions 28 to 507 of the family's 1533-position model. The record is from RNAcentral.
GACGAACGCUGGCGGCGUGCUUAACACAUGCAAGUCGAACGGAAAGGCCCUGCUUUUGUGGGGUGCUCGAGUGGCGAACGGGUGAGUAACACGUGAGUAACCUGCCCUUGACUUUGGGAUAACUUCAGGAAACUGGGGCUAAUACCGGAUAGGAGCUCCUGCUGCAUGGUGGGGGUUGGAAAGUUUCGGCGGUUGGGGAUGGACUCGCGGCUUAUCAGCUUGUUGGUGGGGUAGUGGCUUACCAAGGCUUUGACGGGUAGCCGGCCUGAGAGGGUGACCGGCCACAUUGGGACUGAGAUACGGCCCAGACUCCUACGGGAGGCAGCAGUGGGGAACAUUGCACAAUGGGCGGAAGCCCGCUGCAGCAACGCCGCGUGCGGGAUGACGGCCUUCGGGUUGUAAAACGCUUUCGCCUGUGACGAAGCGUGAGUGACGGUAAUGGGUAAAGAAGCACCGGCUAACUACGUG